Molecule: ribosomal RNA, 460 nt
Filed under: uncultured bacterium
Lineage: Bacteria
Description: partial 16S ribosomal RNA
Rfam family: Bacterial small subunit ribosomal RNA
Source: RNAcentral
CCUACGGGUGGCAGCAGUGAGGAAUAUUGGUCAAUGGACGAGAGUCUGAACCAGCCAAGUAGCGUGAAGGAUGACUGCCCUAUGGGUUGUAAACUUCUUUUAUAUGGGAAUAAAAUGUUCCACGUGUGGGAUUUUGUCUGUACCAUAUGAAUAAGGAUCGGCUAACUCCGUGCCAGCAGCCGCGGUAAUACGGAGGAUCCGAGCGUUAUCCGGAUUUAUUGGGUUUAAAGAGUGCGUAGGUGGAUUGUUAAGUCAGUUGUGAAAGUUUGCGGCUCAACCGUAAAAUUGCAGUUGAAACUGGCAGUCUUGAGUACAGUAGAGGUGGGCGGAAUUCGUGGUGUAGCGGUGAAAUGCUUAGAUAUCACGAAGAACUCCGAUUGCGAAGGCAGUUCACUGGACUGCAACUGACACUGAGGCUCGAAAGUGUGGGUAUCAAACAGGAUUAGAUACCCGGGUAGUC